GUGGGGAAUAUUGCGCAAUGGGCGAAAGCCUGACGCAGCGACGCCGCGUGAGGGACGAAGGCCUUCGGGUUGUAAACCUCUUUCAGCUCCGACGAAGCGCAAGUGACGGUAGGAGCAGAAGAAGCGCCGGCCAACUACGUGCCAGCAGCCGCGGUAAUACGUAGGGCGCAAGCGUUGUCCGGAAUUAUUGGGCGUAAAGAGCUCGUAGGCGGUCUGUCACGUCGGCUGUGAAAACCCGGGGCUCAACCCCGGGCCUGCAGUCGAUACGGGCAGACUAGAGUGUGGUAGGGGAGACUGGAAUUCCUGGUGUAGCGGUGGAAUGCGCAGAUAUCAGGAGGAACACCGGUGGCGAAGGCGGGUCUCUGGGCCAUAACUGACGCUGAGGAGCGAAAGCGUGGGGAGCGAACAGG
This 410-nucleotide ribosomal RNA is filed under the name uncultured Nakamurella sp. Its description in RNAcentral is "bacterial SSU rRNA". It matches the Rfam family "Bacterial small subunit ribosomal RNA", at positions 354 to 776 of the family's 1533-position model. The record is from RNAcentral. Lineage: Bacteria; Bacillati; Actinomycetota; Actinomycetes; Nakamurellales; Nakamurellaceae.